CUCUGUAUAGCUCAGUUGGUAAUUAGAGCGCUGCAUUGAAAUCGCAGGGCCGCGCGCGCAGGUUCGAUUCCAGGCAGAGG
Molecule: non-coding RNA, 80 nt
Organism: Paramuricea clavata
Lineage: Eukaryota; Metazoa; Cnidaria; Anthozoa; Malacalcyonacea; Plexauridae
Source: the annotation of a GenBank genome assembly